CUUUUUCUCUGUGCAUCCUCAGUGACGCGGGGCACAGCUCUGCCCGGGGGCCUACCAGAGCCCACCUGGACCCCACACUGGGUCAGCCCUGGUGCGGAGGAGGCCGCUGUAGGCGCGGCCAGGUCACAGUCGGCACCAGAAGUUUGGCAGAUCUCAGUGAGGCGUUAGUUUGCAUUUCCUUGUGACGGGUUUUGACUGGAAUGCCAGGCUUAACGUUGCUCAGAAGUUGCUUCUAUGAGGACGUCUCCCAGCAGCUGUCAGUGUUUCCAAUGAGUCAUCGCCAGCCCCUGCAAUGAGCCUCUCAGGCUGGAAACAGGUUUUCAGGCCCUGGGCUGCAGCUCCUGGUGCUGAGAACUUUCCAGAAGGUUGGUGGCUCCUGUUCUACGCCUUGUCAGGGAAGAUGUGGGUUCGCCCCAGGUGCUCCAGAAAGGUCGUGUUCUCUAUGGAAUGAAGACGGGUGGGCAUAAGCGUGGGUCCGGGGCCACCCUCUGUCGUCCGCCGGCGUGUUUCUCAUCCAGCCACGUCUCGGAAGGUCUGUGACUGCUGAAAACAUUCUGUGCAUGAACGUUGGGGAAGGAAACCCACCCAGAGGAGGGGCAGGCGCCACCCCAGGCGUCAGAGCACCAAGCCGCAGAGAACGGAGGCAGCAGGUGCCCGGGACACACCGGGGAGACCGCAGGAGCAGCCCGUGUCUUCUGUGGCUCAGUCCCGCGAGAAACUGGAGGCCAGCGCUUCACAGCUCCCAUUUGCAGAGACCAGCUCCCGUGAAUGAAGCAAACAACCUGAUGUUUGCAUUUGCAAGAGGAACUAUGAUUGUGCCAGGGAUGGGGUCUUCAGGUUGUGCAUGAGAGUCUGGGGUCCAUGCGUGGAGAGGGAGUGGUGUCAGAGGGUCAGAGCCCAUGGGCGGUUCUGGGACAUGGAAGCUGGUGUCGAGUCAGUCGGGGACGUGGCCUCCCCAGCACAGCCAGGGUGAGUGUCCUCUCUCUCUAAGGCGAGGCAGGAGGGGCCUCUUGUUUCUCAGCCCCCGCAGCUCUGGCCACCCCAGGCUUAUGGCACACGGUAAUGGAUAUUUCUGAAUGUCUCUUUGGCCAAAUGAGUCUGGAAAAUGAUGUGCUAAGGUGCUCUUGGGAUUGUUUUCAUGGAUCCCAGGUUCGUCGUGUGUAUAAUGUGGCAAUCUGCACCGUAAACCCCGAGCUGCGCAGCCUGGCGCGGCGUGCGUCCGUAACGCAUUUAACCACCAUUUAUUGUUGUUAUUAUCAUUUUUAUUAUUGUCAUUAUUUGGGUAAUAGUAAAGAAGUGUGCUUUA
Long non-coding RNA from Homo sapiens (human), 1306 nucleotides. Ensembl annotates it as long intergenic non-protein coding RNA 1237. The record is from Ensembl. NCBI's taxonomy places the organism in Eukaryota, Metazoa, Chordata, Mammalia, Primates, Hominidae.